Molecule: ribosomal RNA, 175 nt
Filed under: uncultured Actinomycetes bacterium
Lineage: Bacteria; Bacillati; Actinomycetota; Actinomycetes
Description: uncultured actinobacterium partial 16S ribosomal RNA
Rfam family: Bacterial small subunit ribosomal RNA
Source: RNAcentral
CCUACGGGAGGCAGCAGUGGGGAAUAUUGCACAAUGGGCGAAAGCCUGAUGCAGCGACGCCGCGUGAGGGAUGACGUCCUUCGGGUUGUAAACCUCUUUCAGUAGGGAAGAGGCGAAAGUGACGGUACCUGCAGAAGAAGCGCCGGCUAACUACGUGCCAGCAGCCGGCGGUAAU